RNAcentral lists this long non-coding RNA (430 nucleotides) under Gossypium barbadense (sea-island cotton). RNAcentral describes it as "long non-coding RNA (GBAR_LNC014927)". Lineage: Eukaryota; Viridiplantae; Streptophyta; Magnoliopsida; Malvales; Malvaceae. The record is from RNAcentral.
GCUUUUUAUAAUUAUAAUUAUAAUUAUAAUUACUAUGUUUUACAAUAAGUUGUGCGAAUUUAAAAAAAAUUCAUGAUUACGAUACCUGCAGUGACCGUAACAGUGUCCGUUAUGUCCGCGACAAACGCGACGCGACCGAAAACGCGACCGCGACCGCAAUUUAAAUCCUGAUUUAAAUAGAUGCCGAUUAAAUAGGGAGGAGGUGGAAGGAAAUGCUUGAGAGUGAAGGAACUGAAAAUAUGAAAGCUUCAGGGAACUCAAGCCGAAAAGGAGGGAAGGAUCUGAUAAAAACGAAAUUUACACUGCUGAGAGAGGUAGGGAAGGAUCUGCUCCUAUUGAGCACUAAUGGCGAAGAGAAGAUGAAGAAAGGAGGGGAAGCUGGUGCGUUUUACCCACAGAUUUUGAUUUCCGAUUUUGUUUUUAGGUUUUG